CCCCUAGAUGUUCUGGGCCGCACGCGCGCUACACUGAACAGUUCAACAAGUCUUAACCUUGGCCGAUAGGUCUGGGUAAUCUUUGAACGCUGUUCGUGAUUGGGAUAGACCUUUGCAAUUAUGGGUCUUCAACGAGGAAUUCCUAGUAAACGCAAGUCAUCAGCUUGCAUUGAUUACGUCCCUGCCCUUUGUACACACCGCCCGUCGCACCUACCGAUUGAAUGGUCCGGUGAAAUCUCGGGACGGCGGCUUGGUCGCUUGCGUCCGACUGCUGAAACUUGAUUAAACCAUAUCAUUUCUAGGAAGGUGAAGUCGUAACA
RNAcentral lists this ribosomal RNA (320 nucleotides) under uncultured eukaryote. RNAcentral's name for it is "partial 18S ribosomal RNA". It matches the Rfam family "Eukaryotic small subunit ribosomal RNA", at positions 1470 to 1796 of the family's 1831-position model. The record is from RNAcentral.